This 95-nucleotide small nucleolar RNA is filed under the name Lynx canadensis (Canada lynx). Its description in RNAcentral is "Small nucleolar RNA U3 (ENSLCNG00005000365.1)". It matches the Rfam family "Small nucleolar RNA U3". Rfam says of the family: Small nucleolar RNAs (snoRNAs) are involved in the processing and modification of rRNA in the nucleolus. There are two main classes of snoRNAs: the box C/D class, and the box H/ACA class. U3 snoRNA is a member of the box C/D class. RNAcentral also lists the same sequence under 1 other name. The record is from Rfam by way of RNAcentral. Lineage: Eukaryota; Metazoa; Chordata; Mammalia; Carnivora; Felidae.
AAGACUAUACUUUCAGGGAUCAUUUCUAUAGUUCGUUACUAGAGAAGUUUCUCUGAAUGUUUAAUGUUGAUUUAUUUUUGAGAGAGAGAGAGAGA